AGGGUUUAUAAGGAACGCGGAACAAUUCAACGGUCUUUUCUAUCCUGCGGAUGCGUCUGCUGAAGGAUUCAAGGGACUGGUGAACCUUUCACAGGUCCUCUUUGGCCUGCUUAUGAAUUAUUGAAUGGAGGAGAAAUAGAAAUCCUGGGCUGGACUAAGGGCGGGUCAUGCCGCCCCCUGGAUGGUGUCAUCAUGAGGACACGACAGAUUGGACUUGGCCUUCACUAUGGAGUAACACUGUUGGUGCUUGCCUAUGGGGGUGCUAGGCGGAUGUGUCCUGUUUCCAUGCUGAGUCAGCAGGGGGCGACGUGUGCAGAACCAGGGCUGCAGAAAUGCAGUGUCCUCGAAAUCACUAACUGAACUACAGACUACCGAAGCAAACCACAAAAAGCCAAACUAUUUUCCACUUCCCCUUUCCCCUUGGCUUCUGGUGGUCUGCAUGCUUGGUUUGGUGGGCUCGAGGGAGUGGCCUGCUGACAUUAUAAUUCAAUAAUUCAAUAAACAAGGCAUAAUUUCUUGAAAAAAACCAUAAAACUGUAACAAUAAAAACUGUAAAAA
Molecule: long non-coding RNA, 558 nt
Organism: Esox lucius (northern pike)
Lineage: Eukaryota; Metazoa; Chordata; Actinopteri; Esociformes; Esocidae
Exons: 3
Source: RefSeq, a predicted model, not a curated record